Long non-coding RNA from Leopardus geoffroyi (Geoffroy's cat), 1181 nucleotides. RefSeq lists it as uncharacterized. NCBI's taxonomy places the organism in Eukaryota, Metazoa, Chordata, Mammalia, Carnivora, Felidae. The transcript has 2 exons. The record is from RefSeq and is a predicted model, not a curated record.
CGAGCCCAAGUCUGCGCCCGCGCGGGGCCACGAGGGUCUCGGCGGCACGCGGCCGGGAGCCAGCGAUGGAUCCCGAGGCGUCGUGCGGUGGCGCUAUCUGGCAAAGUCAAGUUCCCCAACUUUCUCUAAGGCUCCAAAUCUGUGGGUGUGUCCCGGGCUGUCUCACUGUCUGCCAAGCGGCGCGGCGCACGCAGAGCCCGGGCCGCCUCAGAGACAAGGCCCGGACUCUGCGGGCGGGGCGCCCGCCACGACCCCCGCCCCGCACCGCCCCCCCCCCCCCCAGCCACUCCGCGGUCGGGCGCGGCGAGUUGAGGAUCUGAAGCCCUUGGGGAGCUCUCCCACCCGAACCCUGGGCACCCACUGGUCAGGCAGGGCUCGCCUUGCAAACUGGACGAGCUGCCGCAGGAGGGGACGAGGAGCCUGAACUCGCAGACCUCCUUAGGCCAUACGUUCCCACCUGACCUGUCCCUUCAGGCCGCGGCACCCCGACGGCAAGGAUCGCUCUGGGACGCUGAGGCUCUGCGGCACCCCUACCCCAUGCACCCAGCACGCCUGGCUCCCUGGCCUCACCUGCUCUUCUGUCCUCCCGGCCACUGCCCAGGCGUCUCCAGCUCUGCCUUCUCCUACCUCCUCUCCACCCCUAAGUGACCCCUGAGCGCCAGACCUGAGCACCACGCUGCAGAAUGUUCAACUCCUCUGGCAGAGCCUGAGGGCCUCCGAAUCCAGCAAGUCCAAAAUCAAGCUCCUGUUCAUCUCUGUCCCAAACCUGUGCCCUCUCCUCCUUCUGGGACUCAGUUAUUGUCCUUACCGCCCACCUUCAUCCAGGAAAUGCACCCACACCCUCCUCCGUCCUUCCCGACAUCCAAAUCGGUAGUGUUACCAAUUCUGCUUCCGGAGCUUCGCUCCUCUCCACCCUGAAGCAGUGUCUCAGGUGGGUUCCUCCUCACAGCUCGUUCCCAUCGUCCCUCCCUCGUCUCUGCCCUGCAACCUCAGUCAAGUUUCUCUGGUCCCCACCAAUGCUAGCAUUCUAGAACACACCUGGCCAUGCUAUUCCCCUACCCCAAAUCCUUUGCUAGCUGUCACCAGACAAGGUAGUUAAAAAGAUUGCCAGGCAAUGGAAAAGAUGCUUGUAAAAUAAUGUGAAACAGAAACAAUAAAAAUAAAAAUAAUAAAUAAUAAAA